RNAcentral lists this non-coding RNA (224 nucleotides) under uncultured Dysgonomonas sp. Lineage: Bacteria; Pseudomonadati; Bacteroidota; Bacteroidia; Bacteroidales; Dysgonomonadaceae. The record is from RNAcentral.
ACUUUGUAUCCGAUUAUUGGUGUUACAAGUCCGCAUCUUCGGAUAAGUAAUGAAAAGGGAAUCAGGUGUAAGUCCUGAACAGACCCGCUGCUGUAAACUCUUUUGAAUAGUUUCGAGCGAUACCCAAUGCCACUAUUUUGAUAAGCUAUAAGUUAGCUGAAAAAUGGGAAGGCUGCAAGAAACAAGAGUGAGUCAGAAGACCUGCCAAUGAUCGUAUGAUUUUG